This 312-nucleotide ribosomal RNA is filed under the name uncultured bacterium. RNAcentral describes it as "bacterial SSU rRNA". It matches the Rfam family "Bacterial small subunit ribosomal RNA", at positions 28 to 329 of the family's 1533-position model. The record is from RNAcentral.
GACGAACGCUGGCGGCAUGCCUAACACAUGCAAGUCGAACGGAGAAUCACUUCGGUGAUUCUUAGUGGCGAACGGGUGAGUAACGCGUAGGCAACCUGCCCUUUGGAUGGGGACAACAUUCCGAAAGGAGUGCUAAUACCGAAUGUGACAGGAUUCUCGCAUGAGAGUCUUGUGAAAGAUGGCCUCUACAUGUAAGCUAUCGCCAAAGGAUGGGCCUGCGUCUGAUUAGCUAGAUGGCGGGUAACGGCCACCAUGGCGACGAUCAGUAGCCGGACUGAGAGGUUGAACGGCCACAUUGGGACUGAGAUACGG